RNA transcript from Pezoporus occidentalis (night parrot), 1207 nucleotides. It is a transcript of the gene named CTD nuclear envelope phosphatase 1 regulatory subunit 1, with no coding region annotated. NCBI's taxonomy places the organism in Eukaryota, Metazoa, Chordata, Aves, Psittaciformes, Psittacidae. The record is from RefSeq and is a predicted model, not a curated record. The transcript is spliced from 7 exons.
CUGAGUCUGUGCGACGGGCUGGUGUGCAGCGGUGAGGAUUACGGUUGCCUUCUGUCGCCCGCCAUGAACUCACUGGACCAGGCUGAGGAUCUCAAAGCUUUUGAAAGAAGACUUACCGAAUAUAUUGCAUGUUUGCAACCAGCUACAGGACGUUGGAGAAUGAUUCUGAUAGUGGUGUCAGUCUGCACAGCGACUGGUGCCUGGAACUGGUUAAUAGACCCAGAGACACAAAAGGUGUCAUUUUUCACAUCACUUUGGAAUCAUCCGUUUUUCACAAUUAGUUGUAUUACCCUAAUAGGCUUAUUCUUUGCUGGAAUACAUAAAAGAGUGGUGGCACCAUCAAUUAUAGCAGCCCGAUGUCGAACUGUUUUGGCGGAAUAUAACAUGUCCUGUGAUGAUACUGGAAAAUUAAUUUUGAAACCUAGGCCUCAUGUUCAAUAAGGGCUGUCUUCCUUCAUUUUUUUCCACUGCCAUGGAAACCAAAAAUGACCUUUUUAAGCUGUCCUUGUCUCCUGGUCAUUCUUUUUGGAACCGGUUAAAGGACUGCGGAAAGACUGUCUGUCCUGGAGAAAACUGGUCUCACUGUUUUAAGAACUGCAGCUGCAUCAAUGAUCACAUUUGUCUGUCUGCGUAUGUAGUGCACCAGCCAGUUCUGUUGUGAUCAUACGUAGUUAAUGGUGUGAUCUGGUUCACAACACUGAUCUUUUCAGAUUUUAGUACCUUAAAUAUGCUUGUGGCACAGACUGUAUCUGUACUGUAUCUGAAGUCCAUGUGACCAUUCUGAGAGGAUUUUUAUGCAAUGAUAGUCCAAUAUGAAACUAGUAUUGAAAAAUGUGUGACUUCAGAUUUGGUGUAGAAAAUAGAGUGCCACAAUAAAAUAUUUUAUUAUUGAGUGUUAAAAGCAAGAUGUGGAUGUCAUGUGCAUAAAGUGCAACUUCUGAAUAGCUAAAUUGGAAAGAGUUUUAGCCUGUUCAAGGUGCCUUUUUAAUGGUUUCAAACUCUUCUAAUGGACUAAAACUGCAAAGCUGUUGCAACUUAGUAACACCUACUACAAGCUAGACCGGCUUUUAAAGGCAGCCUAUGGAUGUAACCAUGUCAGUUGUAUCAGAAUUGUAUCCUGUAAUUUUUCCCUUCUGCCCAUCUAUUAUUUUUAACUGGUGUAUAUUUUGUAGGUCAAUAUGUAUAAAAUAAAUUGUUUGUAUAAACA